RNAcentral lists this ribosomal RNA (1758 nucleotides) under Salmonella enterica. RNAcentral describes it as "partial 23S ribosomal RNA". It matches the Rfam family "Bacterial large subunit ribosomal RNA", at positions 1061 to 2802 of the family's 2925-position model. The record is from RNAcentral. Lineage: Bacteria; Pseudomonadati; Pseudomonadota; Gammaproteobacteria; Enterobacterales; Enterobacteriaceae.
AAGUGGGAAACGAUGUGGGAAGGCCCAGACAGCCAGGAUGUUGGCUUAGAAGCAGCCAUCAUUUAAAGAAAGCGUAAUAGCUCACUGGUCGAGUCGGCCUGCGCGGAAGAUGUAACGGGGCUAAACCAUGCACCGAAGCUGCGGCAGCGACACUGUGUGUUGUUGGGUAGGGGAGCGUUCUGUAAGCCUGUGAAGGUGUGUCGUGAGGCAUGCUGGAGGUAUCAGAAGUGCGAAUGCUGACAUAAGUAACGAUAAAGCGGGUGAAAAGCCCGCUCGCCGGAAGACCAAGGGUUCCUGUCCAACGUUAAUCGGGGCAGGGUGAGUCGACCCCUAAGGCGAGGCCGAAAGGCGUAGUCGAUGGGAAACGGGUUAAUAUUCCCGUACUUGGUGUUACUGCGAAGGGGGGACGGAGAAGGCUAUGUUGGCCGGGCGACGGUUGUCCCGGUUUAAGCGUGUAGGUGUGUGUUCCAGGUAAAUCCGGUUCACUUUAACACUGAGGCGUGACGACGAGGCACUACGGUGCUGAAGCAACAAAUGCCCUGCUUCCAGGAAAAGCCUCUAAGCAUCAGGUAACAUCAAAUCGUACCCCAAACCGACACAGGUGGUCAGGUAGAGAAUACCAAGGCGCUUGAGAGAACUCGGGUGAAGGAACUAGGCAAAAUGGUGCCGUAACUUCGGGAGAAGGCACGCUGACACGUAGGUGAAGUGAUUUACUCAUGGAGCUGAAGUCAGUCGAAGAUACCAGCUGGCUGCAACUGUUUAUUAAAAACACAGCACUGUGCAAACACGAAAGUGGACGUAUACGGUGUGACGCCUGCCCGGUGCCGGAAGGUUAAUUGAUGGGGUCAGCGCAAGCGAAGCUCCUGAUCGAAGCCCCGGUAAACGGCGGCCGUAACUAUAACGGUCCUAAGGUAGCGAAAUUCCUUGUCGGGUAAGUUCCGACCUGCACGAAUGGCGUAAUGAUGGCCAGGCUGUCUCCACCCGAGACUCAGUGAAAUUGAACUCGCUGUGAAGAUGCAGUGUACCCGCGGCAAGACGGAAAGACCCCGUGAACCUUUACUAUAGCUUGACACUGAACAUUGAGCCUUGAUGUGUAGGAUAGGUGGGAGGCUUUGAAGUGUGGACGCCAGUCUGCAUGGAGCCGACCUUGAAAUACCACCCUUUAAUGUUUGAUGUUCUAACGUGGACCCGUUACCCGGGUUGCGGACAGUGUCUGGUGGGUAGUUUGACUGGGGCGGUCUCCUCCUAAAGAGUAACGGAGGAGCACGAAGGUUGGCUAAUCCUGGUCGGACAUCAGGAGGUUAGUGCAAUGGCAUAAGCCAGCUUGACUGCGAGCGUGACGGCGCGAGCAGGUGCGAAAGCAGGUCAUAGUGAUCCGGUGGUUCUGAAUGGAAGGGCCAUCGCUCAACGGAUAAAAGGUACUCCGGGGAUAACAGGCUGAUACCGCCCAAGAGUUCAUAUCGACGGCGGUGUUUGGCACCUCGAUGUCGGCUCAUCACAUCCUGGGGCUGAAGUAGGUCCCAAGGGUAUGGCUGUUCGCCAUUUAAAGUGGUACGCGAGCUGGGUUUAGAACGUCGUGAGACAGUUCGGUCCCUAUCUGCCGUGGGCGCUGGAGAACUGAGGGGGGCUGCUCCUAGUACGAGAGGACCGGAGUGGACGCAUCACUGGUGUUCGGGUUGUCAUGCCAAUGGCACUGCCCGGUAGCUAAAUGCGGAAGAGAUAAGUGCUGAAAGCAUCUAAGCACGAAACUUGCCCCGA